Pelobates cultripes (western spadefoot toad) is the source of this 295-nucleotide non-coding RNA. Lineage: Eukaryota; Metazoa; Chordata; Amphibia; Anura; Pelobatidae. The record is from the annotation of a GenBank genome assembly.
AUGCUAAUUCAUACAUAUGGUUUAACCUUCGUUUAUCUAUUCAGCUUGGUUCAGAAAGGCAUACAUUUGAUUUCCAAUGAAGUGCAAUGAGGGCCCUAGCUGUUAGGACCACCUCUGUGAGACUAUUGCUUUCUUGUAAAAUGACCAGUAUGGGGGCAAAUCUAGCCACAGACCUGUUUCAAAUGUGGGUGUGAGUAUGAUGCCCAGUGGCUGCUCAAUGUUGUAAAAAAGAGACCCCCACUCCUAUCGAAAUAAUGAAUGGUGGGAAGCCUCCACCCGUGGCACGUGAGUGGGG